GAUGAACGCUGGCGGCGUGCUUAACACAUGCAAGUCGAACGAAGCACUUAAUGAGAUUUCUUCGGAUUGAUUAUUUUGUGACUGAGUGGCGGACGGGUGAGUAACGCGUGGGUAACCUGCCCCAGACCGGGGGAUAACAGUCGGAAACGACUGCUAAUACCGCAUAAGCGCACAGUGCCGCAUGGCACGGUGUGAAAAACUCCGGUGGUCUGGGAUGGACCCGCGUCCGAUUAGUUAGUUGGUGGGGUAACGGCCCACCAAGACUGCGAUCGGUAGCCGACCUGAGAGGGUGACCGGCCACAUUGGGACUGAGACACGGCCCAGACUCCUACGGGAGGCAGCAGUGGGGAAUAUUGCACAAUGGGGGAAACCCUGAUGCAGCGACGCCGCGUGAGCGAAGAAGUAUUUCGGUAUGUAAAGCUCUAUCAGCAGGGAAGAAAAUGACGGUACCUGACUAAGAAGCCCCGGCUAACUACGUG
RNAcentral lists this ribosomal RNA (479 nucleotides) under uncultured bacterium. Its description in RNAcentral is "bacterial SSU rRNA". It matches the Rfam family "Bacterial small subunit ribosomal RNA", at positions 28 to 507 of the family's 1533-position model. The record is from RNAcentral.